CCUACGGGUGGCAGCAGUGGGGAAUAUUGCACAAUGGGGGAAACCCUGAUGCAGCGACGCCGCGUGAGUGAAGAAGUAAUUCGUUAUGUAAAGCUCUAUCAGUAGGGAAGAAAAUGACGGUACCUGAGUAAGAAGCCCCGGCUAACUACGUGCCAGCAGCCGCGGUAAUACGUAGGGGGCAAGCGUUAUCCGGAUUUACUGGGUGUAAAGGGAGCGUAGACGGCUGUGCAAGUCUGGUGUGAAAGGCGGGGGCUCAACCGUCGGACUGCUCGGGAAACUGUAAGGCUGGAGUGCAGGAGAGGUAGGUGGAAUUCGUGGUGUAGCGGUGAAAUGCGUAGAUAUUAGGAGGAACACCGAUUGCGAAGGCGGCUUACUGGAUUGUAACUGACGUUGAGGCUCGAAAGCGUGGGGAUCAAACAGGAUUAGAUACCCGGGUAGUC
RNAcentral lists this ribosomal RNA (440 nucleotides) under uncultured bacterium. RNAcentral's name for it is "partial 16S ribosomal RNA". It matches the Rfam family "Bacterial small subunit ribosomal RNA", at positions 338 to 795 of the family's 1533-position model. The record is from RNAcentral.